This 476-nucleotide long non-coding RNA is filed under the name Homo sapiens (human). RNAcentral's name for it is "non-protein coding lnc-ULK2-6:1". The record is from RNAcentral. Lineage: Eukaryota; Metazoa; Chordata; Mammalia; Primates; Hominidae.
GAACUCACCAAGUUUCCAUGGAAACCCAAGAAUCUUCCUCUACACUUACAGUAGCCAGUAGAAAUAGUCCCGCUUCUCCACUAAAAGAAUUGUCAGGAAAACUAAUGAAAAGUAUAGAACAAGAUGCAGUGAAUACUUUUACCAAAUAUAUAUCUCCAGAUGCUGCUAAACCAAUACCAAUUACAGAAGCAAUGAGAAAUGACAUCAUAGGUAAGCAGUGCUUGAAACUAUGGCAAAAAAAAAAUGACAAAAAAUGCACAGAACUGACAAUUUUCGUUAUUGACUAAGAUAAUUUUUUCUUAACAUGGAAUUUAGCAGUUCCCUUCCUAAUUUGUUUUCUGAGUAUUUUUUAUAUCGGAUUAUAGCUCACUUUAAAAGUUUCUCGGCUGCAUUCGGUGCGAGGGUCUUUGCCUGGGCCAGAUGGGCUGCAGUGUAGCGGGUGCUCAGGCCUGCCCGCUGCUGAGCAGCCGGGCCGG